RNAcentral lists this ribosomal RNA (425 nucleotides) under uncultured bacterium. Its description in RNAcentral is "partial 16S ribosomal RNA". It matches the Rfam family "Bacterial small subunit ribosomal RNA", at positions 354 to 796 of the family's 1533-position model. The record is from RNAcentral.
GUGGGGAAUCUUGCGCAAUGGGCGAAAGCCUGACGCAGCCAUGCCGCGUGAAUGAUGAAGGUCUUAGGAUUGUAAAAUUCUUUCACCGGGGACGAUAAUGACGGUACCCGGAGAAGAAGCCCCGGCUAACUUCGUGCCAGCAGCCGCGGUAAUACGAAGGGGGCUAGCGUUGCUCGGAAUUACUGGGCGUAAAGGGCGCGUAGGCGGACAGUUUAGUCAGGGGUGAAAGCCCAGGGCUCAACCUUGGAAUUGCCUUUGAUACUGGCUGUCUUGAGUACGGGAGAGGUGAGUGGAACUCCGAGUGUAGAGGUGAAAUUCGUAGAUAUUCGGAAGAACACCAGUGGCGAAGGCGACUCACUGGCCCGUUACUGACGCUGAGGCGCGAAAGCGUGGGGAGCAAACAGGAUUAGAUACCCUAGUAGUCC